GCGUCGAUGGUGCAACGGUCAGCAUACGCUCCCGGAAAGAGGGAUAUCUGAGUUCGAGUCCCGGCUGAUGCA
Molecule: non-coding RNA, 72 nt
Organism: Parelaphostrongylus tenuis
Lineage: Eukaryota; Metazoa; Nematoda; Chromadorea; Rhabditida; Metastrongylidae
Source: the annotation of a GenBank genome assembly